CCCAAGCCAUAUAAGGAGACCAAGGACCUCAAAUCCCUCCGACGUGGGACAACUCAACAAUUGAUGAUGCAAAAAAUCUUUACACUAUGAGUAUAUAUAAUUUAAAUCGUCACUAAUAGCUUUAAUAAUACAAUAGCUUUGAAGCUAGGGGAUAAUAUUGUUUGUGUGUACAUACUAUUGGAAUAAGAUGAGUUUAGUUAAUUAGUGUAACAUUGUUAAUGACGAUUUAUAUAACCAACAUCAAAUUAUUUUUGACCGAAAAACAAUUAUUGUUGUUAUCAAAAACUAUAAAAAAAAAGAAAGAAUAGAGAGCAAACCUUGGCAAAUUAAUGAUAGAGAGGCAUCAUCAAGUGUUUCCACUUGGUUUUCUUUUGCCAUUGGAAAUUUCAAGACUUCUAUUCCAUCAUUCACUUCGAAUACCAGAUCUCGUGCCGUAAGAGAUUGCAAAAC
This 450-nucleotide long non-coding RNA is filed under the name Nicotiana benthamiana. RNAcentral's name for it is "long non-coding RNA (NBEN_LNC002254)". Lineage: Eukaryota; Viridiplantae; Streptophyta; Magnoliopsida; Solanales; Solanaceae. The record is from RNAcentral.